GACCCUAGGUCAGGCAGGGCCACCCACCAAGCUUAAGCAUAUCAAUAAGCAGAUGAGAAGAAACUUACGAGGAUUCCCCUAGUAACGAUGAGCAAACCGAGACU
This 104-nucleotide ribosomal RNA is filed under the name Archontophoenix cunninghamiana. RNAcentral's name for it is "partial 26S ribosomal RNA". It matches the Rfam family "Eukaryotic large subunit ribosomal RNA", at positions 1 to 105 of the family's 3401-position model. Lineage: Eukaryota; Viridiplantae; Streptophyta; Magnoliopsida; Arecales; Arecaceae. The record is from RNAcentral.